Molecule: ribosomal RNA, 808 nt
Filed under: Phlyctorhiza endogena
Lineage: Eukaryota; Fungi; Chytridiomycota; Chytridiomycetes; Chytridiales; Chytriomycetaceae
Description: partial large subunit ribosomal RNA
Rfam family: Eukaryotic large subunit ribosomal RNA
Source: RNAcentral
GCUCAAAUUUAAAAUCUCCCAGGUUCCCUGGGCGAAUUGUAGUUUAAAGAAACGUUUUCUGAGAUGGGCUCGGACCAAGUCUGCUGGAAGGCAGCGCCAUAGAGGGUGAUAGCCCCGUAGGUUCCUGCAUCCAUUUCUUUAUGAUUGCGUUUUCUAAGAGUCGUACAGUUUGAGAAUGCUGUGCUAAAUGGGAGGUAAAUAUCUUCUAAAGCUAAAUACUGGCGAGAGACCGAUAGCGAACAAGUACCGUGAGGGAAAGAUGAAAAGAACUUUGAAAAGAGAGUUAAAUAGUACGUGAAAUUGUCUAAAGUGAAACGUUUGAAACCAGUAUCGGGGGAGGACGGACAACCGCAAGGUGCAUUCGUUCUUUUCUGUGCCAGCGACAGUUUUGUUGGGGGUAAAUCUUCCUGGGAAUGUAGCUCUUCGGAGUGUUAUAGCCCGGGGUGGGGUGCCUUCGGUGGGACUGAUGACAGCCGUAGCCUUGGGGAAGUAGCCGCUUUGAGGCGACCGUUUGUGGACAACUUGUUGAUCAUGAAUGAAUCGUUUUAGACACGGUUGCGUACCACUAACUACGUAGGUCGCUGGUGAAAUGGUUUUAAGCGACCCGUCUUGAAACACGGACCAAGGAGUUCUACAAAUGCGCGAGUCUUUGGGUGUCAAACCCGAGGGCGAAAUGAAAGUAAACGUAGGUGUGAUCCGCAAGGUGCAACAUCGACCGGACUGGAUUUUUUUGAAAGUUCUGAGUAAGAGCGCAUUUGCAGAGACCCGAAAGAUGGUGAACUAUACCUGAGUAGGGUGAAGUCAGAGG